CAAACCAACACCGAUAUAGUGCAGAACCUACUAUUUCAAACCACCAAUUUCUUCCUCGGACAACCUCUCCGCAAUAACCUACAAAUAACGCAAGAUUCAAAACCUAUAAAGAUUACAUUUUUUCUAAUAAAUAUAACAAAACAAAGAAAAUCCAUCAUUCAAAAUCCAAAAAAUAUUGAAUUUUUCCAACAAAGAUACCUAAAGAAAGAAAAUCCUAAAAUUAAAAUCUCAAUAACUAUUAAACCUACCAUUGAAUCAACAUGUGUGGAUUAUUCAGACUCCAAACGGUGGAUACCAGUUCACAAAUGCGAUGAGAAC
This is a non-coding RNA of Vicia faba (fava bean), 318 nucleotides long. The record is from the annotation of a GenBank genome assembly. NCBI's taxonomy places the organism in Eukaryota, Viridiplantae, Streptophyta, Magnoliopsida, Fabales, Fabaceae.